This 1586-nucleotide unclassified non-coding RNA is filed under the name uncultured fungus. Its description in RNAcentral is "sequence contains 18S rRNA gene, ITS1, 5.8S rRNA gene, ITS2, 28S rRNA gene". The stretch from base 582 to 1586 matches the Rfam family "Eukaryotic large subunit ribosomal RNA", at positions 1 to 961 of the family's 3401-position model. The record is from RNAcentral. Lineage: Eukaryota; Fungi.
GGAAGGAUCAUUAUCGAGUCCGAGAGAGAAAAGGGACCACGGAGGACGGAAGUCCUCUCUCGUGUGGUCCCGUGUGGGGGUUCUUUCCUGUGCACCCGUCGUAGAUCUUCUUCAGGAUCUACGUCCGUUUCCUUCGUACGUCCAUGGAGUGUGGUGGGCAGCACGGUAUACAUACGUGCUCGGACAACUUUCAGCGACGGAUCUCUUGGCUCUCGCAUCGAUGAAGGACGCAGCGAAUCGCGAUAAGUAAUGUGAAUUGCAGAUCUUCCGUGAAUCAUCGAAUCUUUGAACGCACCUUGCGCUCCUCGGUAUUCCGAGGAGCAUGCCUGUCUGAGCGUCACCGUACUCUCGGAUCCUCCCUCGUGAGGAAGCCGGAACUUUUGGGGGCUUGCGGGUGUCCCUCGCGGACAUCGGCUCUCCUGAAACACAUUAGCGUGUGGAGCCUGGCGUGACCUCGAUCCUCCUCGGCGUCGUAAGGAUCGUCGUGAGGUCUCGAGGGGAGUGCUUCGUGUCUCAUGCUCCUAGCAUCGUCGACGAGGCGUGUGUAUAUGGGCCUCGUCGCGCGUCCCGAAAGGGUUUUCUGGCCUCAGAUCAGGCAGGGCUACCCGCUGAACUUAAGCAUAUCAAUAAGCGGAGGAAAAGAAACUAACGAGGAUUCCCCUAGUAACUGCGAGUGAAGCGGGAAGAGCUCAAAUUUCGAAUCUGGCGGUCCUCAGGCCGUCCGAGUUGUAAUCUAGAGAAGCGUCUUCCGCGCCGGACCGUGUACAAGUCUCCUGGAAGGGAGCAUCGUAGAGGGUGACAGUCCCGUCUCCGACACGGAAGCGUACCGGUGCUAUGUGAUGCGCUCUCGACGAGUCGAGUUGUUUGGGAAUGCAGCUCCAAACGGGGUGGUAAACUCCAUCUAAAGCUAAAUACUGGCGAGAGACCGAUAGCGAACAAGUACCGUGAGGGAAAGAUGAAAAGGACUUUGGAAAGAGAGUCAAACAGUACGUGAAAUCGCUGGAAGGGAAACGCUCCGGGUCAGUCGCGUCCCCCGGGGAUCAACCCAGCGAUGCGUCGCUGGGCGUACUUCCCGACGGGGACGGGUCAGCAUCGAUCUCGGUCGUCGCAGAAGGACGAGAGCGAAAGUGGCACUCCACGGAGUGUGUUACAGCCUCUCGUAGGCACGCGACGACGGACGGGAUCGAGGAACUCGGCACGACCCUCGCUCGAGGGUUCGGGGCUUUGGCUCACGACCGCGUGCCCAGGAUGUUGGCGUAAUGGCUUCGAGCGACCCGUCUUGAAACACGGACCAAGGAGUCUAACGUGCGUGCGAGUGUUCGGGUGGUAAACCCGUGCGCGCAACGAAGGUGAAGGUCGAGACCUCCGUCACGGGAGGGCAUCGACGCCCGGACUCGAGCCUAUGGCGAGGGAUCCGCGGUGGAGCACGUACGUCGGGACCCGAAAGAUGGUGAACUAUGCCUGAGGAGGGCGAAGCCAGAGGAAACUCUGGUGGAGGCUCGUAGCGAUUCUGACGUGCAAAUCGAUCGUCGAACUCGGGUAUAGGGGCGAAAGACUAAUCGAACCAUCUAGUAGCUGGUUCCUGC